CUUCACUUCACUGUCACUGCACUUUCUCGAAACAGCCCAAUCCUUCUCGUUCUUCUCCUCUUCGCUUCCCUUCUCGCGCUUUUCAGGCUCUUCUUCUCUGUAUUGCGCGCGCAGCUUUUGUCCAUGGCGUUUGCUCACUGCUUGCUAGCUGUUCCUGUUGAUACUUCAAAUCACCCAAAAACUACAAUUCCCAAUUCUUUUUCUUCUCCUUCUGCUGCUGCUGCUGCUGCUGAGUCCCUGUCUUUAUCUCUCUCUUCGUUUUCUAUUGGAUCUAACUCCCGAAAACUCUCUAUCUUUCCCAGACUCCAAAGAAUUGGACAUAAAGCCAAGGCUAAGGCACAAGAAUCUGAAGUCAGUUUAGCUGCAGAUGCCUUUACUCAUUUCAAACAUCUGCUUCUGCCAAUCACGGACAGGAACCCUUAUCUUUCUGAGGGUACAAGACAGGUGACCUUUCUUUAAGGCAUCUUUAUUUUUGGUGAAUUCAUUUUUGCCCCUGCUAUUUGUAACCCCACAAAAAUAGCCUUCUGUAGAAGUCCAAACUUUUACUCUGACAUAUUUCAUGGUGAAAUCGUUUGCUUCGUACAUCUAUUCGAUAAAUUCUUUCAACCUUCCAUGAUUGAUCCCUUGCAAUGGACUGUUAGGAGUAUUAAAUUCCAGUGCCACUGUAAUGGGAAUUGCGGUUUCCUGUCUCCAUAGCCUUGUUGACAUAGUGCUGCCUUGACUUGUUAUUCUUUUAUUGACAGCUUGUUCAAUCAUUCAUUCUGAUUGAUUAUUUAACAGGCUGCUGCUACUACCGCUGCAUUAGCGAAGAAAUAUGGGGCUGACAUCACUGUUGUAGGUAAUCCAUUGGCCUAUGCUAUGCAACUGCCAUUUUGCAUAUAGUUAAAGGUCUGGGAACCUAAGUAGCGGAGGCUCCACUUUAUGCAACAGAUUCUUUUUAAUGCAAGAUUUCAUGGAAUAUCAAAGUUUAUGUUCUUUGCAGUUAUUGAUGAAAAGCAGAAAGAAUCAUUUCCAGAGCAUGAAACCCAAAUGUCUAGCAUUCGCUGGCAUCUCUCUGAAGGUUUGUAUGUAAUCCCAUAACUUUAAAAGAUUUGGCAAGGUUUUCUUUUAGUUUUGGAAUAGAGAAUCUGCUUUUUGCAACAAAGGUUUGAUUGAUUAUAGUAAGAUCCAUCACAACUAGACAAUUGAUCAAUAGGACACAUGAAGCUUUGUUUGAAACAAUGGAACUGGCAUGAGACACAUGAAGAGAAUAUGGAAGUUAAAGACAAAGUGUUAAGCCAAUUUGUUUGCAUGUGCAUAAUCAUGCACAAAGGUGCAUGCAUAUGGGUCAUUGGAAAGGUAAAAUAUAGCAGCUUGAUGGAUUUGUGAUAUAUCAACUGGAAGUCAUUAUCAUCUUCUUUUAUCUUUGUGUGUCUUUGUGCUUAUCCAAAAUUAUGACAAAACCCAUUCAAAAUAUGUGUGUGUGUGUGUGUGUGACAAAGCAGCAAUAUUAGUUGGCUGCCAAUUUUUUAUCCAGAAUGAUGAUGACUAUAAUUAAUUUGCUGAUAAAUUUUAUUUACAAAAUAUGAUAGGUGGAUUCCAAGAAUUCAACUUGUUGGAGCGGCUCGGUGAAGGGAACAAGCCCACCGCCAUCAUUGGUGAUGUUGCUGAUGACCUAAACUUAGAUUUGGUAGUAAUAAGCAUGGAAGCAAUUCAUUCCAAGCAUGUGGAUGCCAACUUACUGGCUGAGUUCAUUCCUUGCCCUGUCUUACUUUUACCAUUGUAGAUUCCAGCCUUUGCCUUGGAGAAAACAGAAACCUACCAAUAUUGUUAUUGAAAGUGGAGCCUUCCCCUGAUGGUCUUUUUAGUUUUGAUCCAGUUUGUUUAGCUUUUUAUUUUUGGGUAAGCUUGUUCAAGGGCUUGUGGGUGGCCUAGGUUGACGAAAGCAGUUUUUCAAGUUAUUGUGAAUAGUUGCGGGUGCGCAUGAUCAAUCUAGGAAGGGACCAAACCUACUUUUGGUGGUGUUUUUAUCGUUUAUUAGACAUGAACUGAUGAUGGUUAUAUUCUACUAAUCUCUGGAAUUUGCUGUACUUUCUACUUCCACUUUAGAUGAGGCUCUUGAGGUUGAAAAAUACCCCUCGCCGGGUAGCCUGGCCCACUGGAAUUCAUUGCACAAAAAGAAAAUAAACAAACCGAAAUUUGUGGCUUUGUGGCAUAUUUAUAAAGGAAAUGAUUAAAAGUUUC
This 2223-nucleotide unclassified non-coding RNA is filed under the name Hevea brasiliensis (rubber tree). The record is from RNAcentral. Lineage: Eukaryota; Viridiplantae; Streptophyta; Magnoliopsida; Malpighiales; Euphorbiaceae.